Molecule: small RNA, 6632 nt
Filed under: Pongo abelii (Sumatran orangutan)
Lineage: Eukaryota; Metazoa; Chordata; Mammalia; Primates; Hominidae
Description: retained intron
Source: RNAcentral
AACUGAACAGUUUUUAAUUGCCUUUUAAAAUAAACUUUAUUAGAAAUAUUUACCUAGAUAUUUUUGUUUUCUUGGGUUAGAUUAGUUUAUUAUGAAAUAUUUACUUUCAUUUGGAAUGGUUAGGAAGUUUAUAAGAUAACAUUCUUCUUGACUGAGCAUCCAUGGCUCUAUUUGUUUACUUGCUCAGGCUUAGUGAACAUUUGAAGAAAAAAUUAAUCCAAAACAAAGAUUCUUAAAUUUUUAACUUUGAAUAUUAAUAGAGUAAGUUAUGCUAUUUUUUCUUUUCUUCUUAAUUUUUUUUUAAAGAAACUGGUAAAUACUUGAAUAAAGUUGUAUGAAUGAAUUCAAAUUUCUUAAAUUCCCUGCUGGCUAUGCUAGAAUUGCUACUCAGAAAGCUGUUUACUUUUUUUUUUUUUUUGAAAGUUGUUUUCUUUUAAACACAUUCACUUUUCUUAUGCUUAAAUAUGGCAUUUCUCUUCAUAGAAGUAUUUUUGAAUUUCUUUGUCCAUAUUGAAAAUCAAAUUUGAAGUUCAUUUCACAUACAUUAAAUUACCCACAUGUAUUCAUCUAUAAAUUGACUCAGUGCUGAGAAAUGUAUCUUUUAGUUUCUAGGUAAAGUUAAAAUUGAAAGAUAACUGGAUGCCAGUUUUCUGGUUUAAAUUAGAAAGCAGUGGGAGUUUCUGCUUUAUCCUGGAGUAGGGACACAUCUCGUUUAAACAGUAUCUCAUUCCAUCCUCUUUAUUGGAUUUUCUUUUUGUAUGUUUUAAUACAUUUUUGAUAGCGUAUUUAGGAUUUUUAUGAGAGUAUACUUAAAAUUAUAAUAUUCCCAUACUGAGGUUGGAACUUACUAGGUAUUGAAUGUUUUUUAAAAAAUUGUAUUUUAAAGCAUCUUGCAGUUAAAUAUAUGUUAUUAUGAGAAGUGGGGUGAUUUUGUUUCUGUCUUUUAGAAAGGAAUGUAUACUUUUGAGAAAUAUAACUUUUGAACUUAAAAGCUGUGUGAAACUUACCAGAGAAUCUUUAUUAGGAACUGUCACAUCCAUUUUGCCAGUAUUUCAGACUAACGUUUAAAGUAAACUGGGAAGGGAAGUAGGCAAGGAAGAUAAAUUGUAUUUUACUCAAAGGGUGGGGUUUUACAGCUUUUCUCAUUGAGUUGAAAUUUCUAUUAGGAGAAGGGGUUUUGCUAGCAUUUAUUCUUUUGCUAGUUCCUCACAGCUCUGUACAUGCAGGUAAGUUCACGCUGUUUGUAAAGCUUUUAACUGGCAGUAGUGAAUAGUUGGGAUAUGAGGAGAAUUACAUUUGAGACAAGUUCAGAAUAUGCACUACAUAAGAAUAAGCAUUUUAAUUGUGCCAAGACCUUUGGUUUGAAAAUCAAGAAGGAGUUAUCGUUGUCCAGCAACCUGUGAGUCUUGUACAUUGGUUAGUGUAGAAGUUAAUCCCAGUGCCUCUAGAGCACCUUUCUGAAGAGUUUUCUUUUUCUUCCUUUUAACAUAAUGGACAAUCAACGAAGUAUGUAAGAACUUUUACUGUUUGCUAGCCUCCUUUAAAGGGAAUUCUUUAUUGAGGGCUACAAUAAAUAUGCUUAUUCACCUUGGGCUGCUUUUAAGCUGUAGAUUUAAUAUUAUAAACGAUCUUUAAGGUGGGUAAUUUCUCAGUUCAUUGGGUAUGCAUCAAGAGUUUUAACUAAAUUUUCUAUUUUCCUUAAAUUCUAGAAAGUGAAAUUAUUAUUGACGAUGGACAAUUUGGAAUCCACAAUGGUGUUGAAACUCUGGAUUCUGGAUGGCUGACAUGUCAGACUGAAAUAAGAUUACGUUUGCAUUAUUCUGAAAAACCUCCUGUGUCAAUAACCAAGAAAAAAUUAAAAAAAUCUAGAUUUAGGGUGAAGCUGACACUAGAAGGCCUGGAGGAAGAUGACGAUGAUAGGGUAUCUCCCACUGUACUCCACAAAAUGUCCAAUAGCUUGGAGAUAUCCUUAAUAAGCGACAAUGAGUUCAAGUGCAGGCAUUCACAGCCGGAGUGUGGUUAUGGCUUGCAGCCUGAUCGUUGGACAGAGUACAGCAUACAGACGAUGGAGCCAGAUAACCUGGAACUAAUCUUUGAUUUUUUUGAAGAAGAUCUCAGUGAGCACGUAGUUCAGGGUGAUGCCCUUCCUGGACACGUGGGUACAGCUUGUCUCUUAUCAUCCACCAUUGCUGAGAGUGGAAAGAGUGCUGGAAUUCUUACUCUUCCCAUCAUGAGCAGAAAUUCCAGGAAAACAAUAGGCAAAGUGAGAGUUGACUAUAUAAUUAUUAAGCCCUUACCAGGAUACAGUUGUGGCAUGAAAUCUUCAUUUUCCAAGUAUUGGAAGCCAAGAAUACCAUUGGAUGUUGGCCAUCGAGGUGCAGGAAACUCUACAACAACUGCCCAGCUGGCUAAAGUUCAAGAAAAUACUAUUGCUUCUUUAAGAAAUGCUGCUAGUCAUGGUGCAGCCUUUGUAGAAUUUGAUGUACACCUUUCAAAGGACUUUGUGCCUGUGGUAUAUCAUGAUCUUACCUGUUGUUUGACUAUGAAAAAGAAAUUUGAUGCUGAUCCAGUUGAAUUAUUUGAAAUUCCAGUAAAAGAAUUAACAUUUGACCAACUCCAGUUGUUAAAGCUCACUCAUGUGACUGCACUGAAAUCUAAGGAUCGGAAAGAAUCUGUGGUCCAGGAGGAAAAUUCCUUUUCAGAAAAUCAGCCAUUUCCUUCUCUUAAGAUGGUUUUAGAGUCUUUGCCAGAAGAUGUAGGGUUUAACAUUGAAAUAAAAUGGAUCUGCCAACAAAGGGAUGGAAUGUGGGAUGGUAACUUAUCAACAUAUUUUGACAUGAAUCUGUUUUUGGAUAUAAUUUUAAAAACUGUUUUAGAAAAUUCUGGGAAGAGGAGAAUAGUGUUUUCUUCAUUUGAUGCAGAUAUUUGCACAAUGGUUCGGCAAAAGCAGAACAAAUAUCCCAUACUAUUUUUAACUCAAGGAAAAUCUGAGAUUUAUCCCGAACUCAUGGACCUCAGAUCUCGGACAACCCCCAUUGCAAUGAGCUUUGCACAGUUUGAAAAUCUACUGGGGAUAAAUGUACAUACUGAAGACUUGCUCAGAAACCCAUCCUAUAUUCAAGAGGCAAAAGCUAAGGGACUAGUCAUAUUCUGCUGGGGUGAUGAUACCAAUGAUCCUGAAAACAGAAGGAAAUUGAAGGAACUUGGAGUUAAUGGUCUAAUUUACGAUAGGAUAUAUGAUUGGAUGCCUGAACAACCAAAUAUAUUCCAAGUGGAGCAAUUGGAACGCCUGAAGCAAGAAUUGCCAGAGCUUAAGAGCUGUUUGUGUCCCACUGUUAGCCGCUUUGUUCCCUCAUCUUUGUGUGGGGAGUCUGAUAUCCAUGUGGAUGCCAACGGCAUUGAUAACGUGGAGAAUGCUUAGUUUUUAUUGCACAGAGGUCAUUUUGGGGGCAUGCACCGCUGUUCUGGGUAUUCAUUUUUCAUCACUGAGCAUCGCUGAUCUAUGCCUUUUGGGCUUCUCAGUUCAAUGAAGCAAUAAUGAAGUAUUUAACUCUUUCACUACAGUUCUUGCAAGUAUGCUAUUUCAAUUACUUGGCCAGGUAUAAUUGCCAGUCAGUCUCUUUAUAGUGAGAAAAUUUAUUGGUUAGUAAUAUAAAUAUUUUAAAUUAAAUAUAUAAAUCUAUAAUGUUAAACAUAUGUUCAUUAAAAGCAUAGCACUUUGAAAUUAACUAUAUAAAUAGCUCAUAUUUACACUUACAGCUUUUCAUUUGAUCAGGUCUGAAAUCUUUAGCACUUAAGGAAAAUGACUAUGCAUAAUUAUACCUGACCAUGAAAAAAAUAAGUACCUCAAAUGCAUGCAUUUGCACUGGUGAUUCCAACUGCACAAAUCUUUGUGCCAUCUUAUAUAUAGGUAUUUUUUACAUGGGUUCACAUGCACACAACACCAUUUUCAUUCAGUAUGAACCUUGAGGCUGCUGCCAUUUUUCCAUUUAACCAAACCAGCCUGAAGGUGAACCUCGAAACUUGUUUCAUAAAUCUUUCAAAAGUUGUUUUACAUCAAUGUUAAAAUUUCAAAAUGCUGCAGGGUAAUUUAAUGUAUAAAAUAUUAGUAAGAAAAAGUAUGUAUUGCAUACUUAGUAGAAUAGAUCACAACAUACAAAUACAAUUCAGUGCAUGCUUUAGGUGUUAAGCAUGAGAUUGUACAUGUUUACUGUUAGGUUCUUGCAUCUGUGGUGCUAGGUGAGUAUGAGAUGUCAAGGACUGGAUGUAUUUUGUUGCCUAAAAAAAAAAGGCUGUUUGUAGGCAUUUUAAAUAUGCUUAUUUUGUGUGUCUCUCACUACCUAUUACACACUGUUGCUUUGUGGGUUUGUUUUGUAUAUGCGUGUGUUGUACAGUAGUUAAGUUUCCAUGCAGAAAAAUAAAUGUCCUGAAUUCUCAUAUUAGUAUUCUUUAUUGUAUAUCAUGCAUGUAAUUUAUUUAGAAAUGUAGGUCUUACUAAAUGUAUAUGCAUGUGUUUCAGAUUAUACUAGGAUUUCUUGGAUUAGAAGCAGAUUGUGUUAACUGUAACUUAAAGAAUGAAUGUUAAAUAAAACGAUGCAGAUUUAUUUUCUUCAUUACAAAAUGAAAUUUCAAGAAGGUGUUACUUUUGUAGAAUGGUUUUAUAAUAUGACAAGAAAUUUUAAUAUAGUGUCUACCCUAAAGGGAUGGCUUAUUUGCAUCUACCUUUUACUGCAUGUUUUUCACGAGGCAGUUUAUUCAUAUAUUGACAUAUUUUGGUAGUAGCUGAGAACCUAAGACUUGAAAUUAUACAUUGUGUAUUAUUUUUUAAGCUAAGCAAUGCAAUUUUGGUCAGAUCUUGUUUGUGUGAAGAUAGGCUGUGAAAUCCUAUGGUAUUGCAUUUGUAACGUUGAUAUUAAUGGAAAAUAGUUUAGGAAAUGGAGUCUUCUGCGAGGGUUCUGUAUACUUUCCCCACAUUGUAUGAGAUUUUCCAACAUUUUGGUGUGAAUUGGGCACUUCUGGAAAACUCCUGAAAAAGAAUUAGUUUCCUUCAUCUGCAGACCUUUGUCCAAUACGGUUACCAUUUCUUUAUAGUAACUCGAUUAGCCAUAUGUGUUUGUUUCUAGUCCUGCUCCUUUGCUCCUCUCCUAUGCCUUCCCAAUGCUGGCUCCAUUUUGAAGACUCGAGGACAGAGGGGAAGCAGAUCAUAAAGAGAAAAAGGAGACAGAAGAAAGGAUGAAGGAAGGAGGUCAUGGGGAGUGUGGCUUCUGAGCAGUUUAGUUGCUGGGGAGAGCAGACAGUCGACUGCCUACAAUACAGACAGAACCUUCCUGCUCACUUUCUGUCCUAUCUCUUCCUGACCUUAUGAACCAGUGUUAGUAGAUGAUUAAAACAUGACAAGCAAUGGCUCCUUAUUUUCACAGGACUAAGUCCGGGCCUUCAUAUCACUAGCUGUUGCCUUUUACACCCCGCUUCAGCCACCCUGUCCCUGUCAUUGGCCCUGGACUUCCUCUCUGUGCCCGUGUGUCCUCUGCCUGGGAGCUCUCUCCUACCAUAGUCACUUUCUCUCUGCCAAACUCAUUUCUUCUUGUGCCCAAGACCUCUCUCCUGAGCCCUUGUGGAAACUUCAGAAAGGAUGAAUCCAUCUUUGUGUUCCAUGGCUCGUACCUUGGUCAGGCUGUGCAUCACAGUAAUUCUAUUCUAGGUAGGCAGAGUUGAUCUUUGUCUCAUCGGCCAGGCUGUGGGCUCUUCAAGGGCAGGGACCUUGUCAUAGUCAUUUUUUUUUUCACAGUGCUUGGAACAUGGUGGAAAAUGAAUGUUGGAAUUAUUGGAGUAAUGUAAUUUGUAUCAAAUGUCCUUUUGAAUUAAGAGAUUUAGUUAUGUUUACUAAGAAUGUAAACUUUGGUUUACAUUUUGACAAUUAGGAUGGUUUAUUGAUGUGAAUUUUGAAAUGUAGACGUAUAAUGUUAAAUUAUUUUAUACUUUAUGGAAAUCAAGUGUAAUGUUUGAAAAAAUGCCGCCAUUAUCCUCUGGUAUUUUCUACUCUCUGGAAUUAUGUACUGUAAAUGAUCGGAUGUAAAUGUGAGGCACACCGCUCACCCCUGUGUGGGAAGUGUGGUGGUACUUCCUGCCACCCACCUCUCUGCCGUUGCUCCUUGUGACACUUGUCUGUCGUCUCUCCUCCAAACUCCAGGCUUACAGCUACCUCAGUACUGCUUUGCUUGUCUGAAACACCUCCUUUGCCUUCCUUCAGUGUCCCGCUCAGGUGCCACCUCCUCCAUAAAGCUCAUCUCAGCUUUUGAUCUGAAUGAUGAUGGAAACAUGCAGACAGCCUCUCAGUCUUACUAUUUAAUGUUGUAGCUGGGAAAAAACCCAGAGAGGUUAACUGAUAUACUGGGUUGGGACUAGGAUGUGGGUUUUGUGACUCUGAAUCCCAUGUUCUCAAACUACGCUGCCUUCCGAAGUCUGGCAUUUGUUAGCUCAUGCUUCCUUGUAGUCCAGCUUCUUAUGUGCCUGUUAUAUUCUCCAGUAAGAUUGUAAGCCCCUUAAGGGCAGGGACGUCUUUGCAACUCUAGCACUGCUAUAGUAUUCUAUCCUUAGUUAUGAACUAGAUAAAUAAAUGGUGGUGGCAACAA